GGGGCCGUAGCUCAGAUGGAAGAGCGCUAGAAUCGCACUCUAGAGGCCGUGGGUUCGACUCCCAUCGGCUCCACCA
This 76-nucleotide transfer RNA is filed under the name bacterium. RNAcentral describes it as "tRNA-Ala". It matches the Rfam family "tRNA". From Rfam's summary of the family: Transfer RNA (tRNA) molecules are approximately 80 nucleotides in length. The record is from RNAcentral. RNAcentral also lists the same sequence under 1 other name.